RNAcentral lists this ribosomal RNA (134 nucleotides) under Caldilineaceae bacterium. Its description in RNAcentral is "partial 23S ribosomal RNA". It matches the Rfam family "Bacterial large subunit ribosomal RNA", at positions 2792 to 2925 of the family's 2925-position model. The record is from RNAcentral. Lineage: Bacteria; Bacillati; Chloroflexota; Caldilineae; Caldilineales; Caldilineaceae.
GCCAGCUUCGAGAUAAGUUCCCUCACAGGGUUAACCUGGUAAGUGCGCUGGGAGACCACCAGCUUGAUAGGCGGCACGUGUACGGGCAGAGAUGUCCUCAGCGAAGCCGUACUAAUGCACGAGGGCUUAAUCUA